ACGUGAGAAUCUGCCCUUAGGAGGAGAAUAACUUCUGGAAACGGUUGCUAAGUCUCCAUAUGCCGAGAGGUAAAAUAGUUUACACUGCCUAGGGAUGAGCUCACGCCUGAUUAGCUUGUUGGUAAGGUAAUGGCUUACCAAGGCCACGAUCAGUAGCUGGUUUGAGAGAACGAUCAGCCACACUGGGACUGAGACACGGCCCAGACUCCUCCGGGAGGCAGCAGUGAGGAAUUUUCCGCAAUGGGCGAAAGCCUGACGGAGCAAUACCGCGUGAGGGAUGAAGGAUUUUGGUCUGUAAAC
RNAcentral lists this ribosomal RNA (300 nucleotides) under uncultured bacterium. RNAcentral describes it as "bacterial SSU rRNA". It matches the Rfam family "Bacterial small subunit ribosomal RNA", at positions 115 to 430 of the family's 1533-position model. The record is from RNAcentral.